CUGUUGGUCCUCUUCACAUGUAAAUUUAUAAGGUUAUGCAACAGCUUCUGCAAUUACUAUUUUUCUUUUUGUGUGCAGAAUUUUCCCUGUGUCCCAUAACUAAGUUUCCUUUCAAGUCUGGGAUAAGCCUAUGCUUGAUAUAUUUUAGGCAAAAGAAGGAAAUGCACAGAGGUUCUACAGAUACAUUGGCCAGAAAAGAAAGACUAUGGAGUGUGUAGCACCUCUGACAAAUGAAGAUGGAGAACUGGUAAUGAGAAGAUGUGGAGAAGGCAGAUGUAUUUAGAUGUGAUGUGCUUGUGUCUUUCUAACUUCCAUGCACUUAGAUUGUCAGUUCUUUGCUGUGGGACAGGAUGGCUUCUGUUAUCUCCCAGACAAUGCAAGAAUCUCCAAAGAUCAAGUACAGAAUAAUAGAUGUUGAAGCUGCAAAUUCUGCCAAUAUCAUCACUGUUCUAAUGUCAGUGGAUUUAGUUAGUACAUUAUAUUUGGAAUUCAGAGAACGAAGAAAGGUAGAGAGAAAACUUUAUGAAGCUAGUAGUUCAAUUAUUUUCUGAAAGACACCUGCAAGGUGAUUAUUAUUAUUAUUUACUAAAAAUUAACUCAGUAACUUGAAUUUA
This 614-nucleotide long non-coding RNA is filed under the name Anas platyrhynchos platyrhynchos (common mallard). Its description in RNAcentral is "lncRNA (ENSAPLG00000020902.1)". Lineage: Eukaryota; Metazoa; Chordata; Aves; Anseriformes; Anatidae. The record is from RNAcentral.